UGGGGAAUUUUGCACAAUGGGGGAAACCCUGAUGCAGCGACGCCGCGUGAUUUAGAAGGCCUUCGGGUUGUAAAAAUCUUUUCUAUGGGAAGAAAAUGACAGUACCAUAGGAAUAAGGACCGGCUAAUUACGUGCCAGCAGCCGCGGUAAUACGUAAGGUCCGAGCGUUGUCCGGAAUCAUUGGGCGUAAAGGGUACGUAGGCGGGGAAGCAAGUUAGAAGUGAAAUCCUAUAGCUCAACUAUAGUAAGCUUUUAAAACUGCUCAUCUUGAGGUAUGGAAGGGAAAGUGGAAUUCCUAGUGUAGCGGUGAAAUGCGCAGAUAUUAGGAGGAAUACCGGUGGCGAAGGCGACUUUCUGGCCAUAACCUGACGCUGAGGUACGAAAGCGUGGGUAGCAAACAGG
This 402-nucleotide ribosomal RNA is filed under the name bacterium. RNAcentral describes it as "partial 16S ribosomal RNA". It matches the Rfam family "Bacterial small subunit ribosomal RNA", at positions 355 to 776 of the family's 1533-position model. The record is from RNAcentral.